RNAcentral lists this ribosomal RNA (464 nucleotides) under Vreelandella stevensii. RNAcentral's name for it is "partial 16S ribosomal RNA". It matches the Rfam family "Bacterial small subunit ribosomal RNA", at positions 338 to 795 of the family's 1533-position model. The record is from RNAcentral. Lineage: Bacteria; Pseudomonadati; Pseudomonadota; Gammaproteobacteria; Oceanospirillales; Halomonadaceae.
CCUACGGGAGGCUGCAGUGGGGAAUAUUGGACAAUGGGGGGAACCCUGAUCCAGCCAUGCCGCGUGUGUGAAGAAGGCCCUCGGGUUGUAAAGCACUUUCAGUGAGGAAGAACGCCUGGUGGUUAAUACCCAUCAGGAAAGACAUCACUCACAGAAGAAGCACCGGCUAACUCCGUGCCAGCAGCCGCGGUAAUACGGAGGGUGCGAGCGUUAAUCGGAAUUACUGGGCGUAAAGCGCGCGUAGGUGGCUUGAUAAGCCGGUUGUGAAAGCCCCGGGCUCAACCUGGGAACGGCAUCCGGAACUGUCAAGCUAGAGUGCAGGAGAGGAAGGUAGAAUUCCCGGUGUAGCGGUGAAAUGCGUAGAGAUCGGGAGGAAUACCAGUGGCGAAGGCGGCCUUCUGGACUGACACUGACACUGAGGUGCGAAAGCGUGGGUAGCAAACAGGAUUAGAACCCUAGUAGUC